Molecule: ribosomal RNA, 279 nt
Filed under: uncultured bacterium
Lineage: Bacteria
Description: partial 16S ribosomal RNA
Rfam family: Bacterial small subunit ribosomal RNA
Source: RNAcentral
UAGGGAAUCUUCCACAAUGGACGCAAGUCUGAUGGAGCAACGCCGCGUGAGUGAAGAAGGUUUUCGGAUCGUAAAGCUCUGUUGUUGGUGAAGAAGGAUAGAGGCAGUAACUGGUCUUUAUUUGACGGUAAUCAACCAGAAAGUCACGGCUAACUACGUGCCAGCAGCCGCGGUAAUACGUAGGUGGCAAGCGUUGUCCGGAUUUAUUGGGCGUAAAGCGAGCGCAGGCGGAAUGAUAAGUCUGAUGUGAAAGCCCACGGCUCAACCGUGGAACUGCAU